RNAcentral lists this ribosomal RNA (468 nucleotides) under uncultured bacterium. Its description in RNAcentral is "partial 16S ribosomal RNA". It matches the Rfam family "Bacterial small subunit ribosomal RNA", at positions 28 to 507 of the family's 1533-position model. The record is from RNAcentral.
GACGAACGCUGGCGGCGUGCUUAACACAUGCGAGUCGAACGGAAAGGCCCUGCUUUCGUGGGGUGCUCGAGUGGCGAACGGGUGAGUAACACGUGAGUAACCUGCCCUUGACUUUGGGAUAACUUCAGGAAACUGGGGCUAAUACCGGAUAGGAGCUCCUGCUGCAGGGUGGGGGUGGGAAAGUUUCGGCGGUUGGGGAUGGACUCGCGGCUUAUCAGCUUGUUGGUGGGGUAGUGGCUUACCAAGGCUUUGACGGGUAGCCGGCCUGGGAGGGUGGCCGGCGACAUUGGGACUGAGGGACGGCCCAGACUCCUACGGGAGGCAGCAGUGGGGAGUAUUGCACAAUGGGCGGAAGCCUGAUGCAGCAACGCCGCGUGCGGAAUGACGGCCUUCGGGUUAUAAACCGCUUUCGCCUGUGACGAAGCGUGAGUGACGGUAAUGGGUAAAGAAGCACCGGCUAACUACGUG